Molecule: long non-coding RNA, 934 nt
Filed under: Calidris pygmaea (Spoon-billed sandpiper)
Lineage: Eukaryota; Metazoa; Chordata; Aves; Charadriiformes; Scolopacidae
Description: lncRNA (ENSCPGG00000004851.1)
Source: RNAcentral
AUCCCACCUGCAGUGGUGCCUGCAUUCUAGCCCCGCAGCAGCACCUGCAUCCCACCUACAGCAGUAUCUACUCUCUGCAUCCCACCUGGAAGUGAAGCACAUCCCUGUUCUUGGGCUGGGGAGUGCUAAUUAGCGAGCAGAACCAAUGACAACAGUACUGCAUGAACUGCUGAACUCAAAUGUUUCCCCUGUCCAGGGUUUACAGGGGGGUGAUCGCAGCUGGUCUGUAAAUGUAGGCUUGGGAAGUGCUUCAGAAGCAGACCAGCCAUCCCCACAGCUGGAGCAGUUUUUAGUCCUGCUGGAUGUCACCCCAUAAAGUCUCCCCGGUGCUCUGCUGGCUUUCCCUUCCUGCGGUGUGUGUCCAGCAGCAACAGCUGGGAAGACAAGCAAUGGUGAGGGAAGGUAGAGAACUACCAUUCCAUCCUGGGCAUCCCCACUGGGCAGGCAGCUCCCCAGGAGCAGCAGCCGCCCACUCCAGGUCUUCAGUGCAAACCUGCCCGCAAGCUGCUGUUGGAGGAACAUCCAGGACAGCACUUGGGAAGGUGGGGGAACAAGACAGCCUCCUGUGCUGUCUGGGAAGAGUGAUGGCUCCAGGACCACGGCUGAUGGAGGAUGAAGGUAUGCAGCAGGUAUUGCUCCUGUCUCAGUCUGGCUCUGUCUCCUGUUUUUCCUUCUUUUCUACUACCUCCGUUUGAUUUAUCAAUCGCUUUCCAUUUCAGGUUUGCUGUUUUCUGGUUGGAGUAUUUUUAAUAGUCUGCAUUAUUAAAUGGAAAGCAAACUACAGGUAUGGCCAUUAAUUCUGCUGGGGAAAGGACAGCCUGCCUUCUUCAAGCAUCCAGACCUGCUUCACAAUAUGUGAGGUAAAAAUAGAAAGCAGAGUACUAAAACAAAGAGGGAGUAAAGAUUAACACAGGGGACUUGGCAGCCUAAAUAU